AUGCAAACGAGAAGUGGGCAUGAGCGUGUCAUGCAAGGAUGGCGGGGUGCUCCUGGAUUCCGGGUUCCCACAGGACGGCGGCAUGGAAAACAAGGAAUGAACGUGCAAGGAUCAAACGGGAACGGUGCAAACAUACGAUUCAUCUCAUACAACACAUGCAUUCGGUCCACGGACGUUGUCUCGGGGUUAUACCUUCGAAGCGUGCAUUCGGUGCGGAACGCGUUUCGUAGAGGAAGUAGUCGUUCACGGGCCGUAGUGGAAGUAGUUGUUCUCGCGACGGUAGUGGAAGUAGUUGUACUCGUUCAUCUCGGAGAGGUACUUGACGAAUCCAGCAUCUUCGGGGCGACGGUAGUGGUUCACGGACGUCGUGGAAGUAGUUGUACAUGGCGUCGGUAG
This 396-nucleotide ribosomal RNA is filed under the name Triticum aestivum (bread wheat). RNAcentral describes it as "partial small subunit ribosomal RNA". The record is from RNAcentral. Lineage: Eukaryota; Viridiplantae; Streptophyta; Magnoliopsida; Poales; Poaceae.